CAGCAGCCGCGGGAAUACGAAGGGUGCAAGCGUUACUCGGAAUUGCUGGGCGUAAAGCGUGCGUAGGCGGUUGGUUAAGUCUGUCGUGAAAGCCCUGGGCUCAACCUGGGAAUGGCGAUGGAUACUGGCCAGCUAGAGUACGGUAGAGGAUGGUGGAAUUCCCGGUGUAGCGGUGAAAUGCGUAGAGAUCGGGAGGAACACCCGUGGCGAAGGCGGCCAUCAGGACCAGUACUGACGCUGAGGCACGAAAGCGUGGGGAGCAAACAGGAUUAGAUACCCGCGUAGUCCCUGUCUCUUAUAC
RNAcentral lists this ribosomal RNA (301 nucleotides) under uncultured bacterium. Its description in RNAcentral is "partial 16S ribosomal RNA". It matches the Rfam family "Bacterial small subunit ribosomal RNA", at positions 509 to 807 of the family's 1533-position model. The record is from RNAcentral.